UACGUAGGGUGCGAGCGUUAAUCGGAAUUACUGGGCGUAAAGCGUGCGCAGGCGGUUUGUUAAGUCUGAUGUGAAAGCCCCGGGCUCAACCUGGGAACUGCAUUGGAAACUGGCAAGCUCGAGUAUGGCAGAGGGGGGUGGAAUUCCGCGUGUAGCAGUGAAAUGCGUAGAUAUGCGGAGGAACACCGAUGGCGAAGGCAAUCCCCUGGGCCUGCACUGACGCUCAUGCACGAAAGCGUGGGGAGCAAACAGG
This 253-nucleotide ribosomal RNA is filed under the name uncultured bacterium. RNAcentral describes it as "partial 16S ribosomal RNA". It matches the Rfam family "Bacterial small subunit ribosomal RNA", at positions 524 to 776 of the family's 1533-position model. The record is from RNAcentral.